GCAUCCAUGGCUGGUUGGUUAAAGCAUCAAAAUCAUAAUUAGCAAUUUCGUAGGUUCAAUUCCUAUUGGAUGCA
This 74-nucleotide transfer RNA is filed under the name Nicotiana sylvestris (wood tobacco). It matches the Rfam family "tRNA". Rfam says of the family: Transfer RNA (tRNA) molecules are approximately 80 nucleotides in length. Their secondary structure includes four short double-helical elements and three loops (D, anti-codon, and T loops). The record is from Rfam by way of RNAcentral. Lineage: Eukaryota; Viridiplantae; Streptophyta; Magnoliopsida; Solanales; Solanaceae.